UGGUUGUUAGAUUAAUGGUAAAUCAUAGAUCUUACACAUCUACUAUAGUGGUUCAAUUCCACUACAGCCAA
This 71-nucleotide transfer RNA is filed under the name Candida maltosa. RNAcentral describes it as "tRNA-Val". It matches the Rfam family "tRNA". Rfam says of the family: Transfer RNA (tRNA) molecules are approximately 80 nucleotides in length. Their secondary structure includes four short double-helical elements and three loops (D, anti-codon, and T loops). The record is from RNAcentral. Lineage: Eukaryota; Fungi; Ascomycota; Pichiomycetes; Serinales; Debaryomycetaceae. RNAcentral also lists the same sequence under 1 other name.